AUUAAAUGGCUGCAGUAUAUUGACUGUACAAAGGUAGCAUAAUAAUUAGUUUUUUAAUUGGAAACUUGUAUGAAUGGAUAAAUGAGGGAUUUAUUUUAUUUUUCUUAAUGCUUGAAUUUAAUUUUUUGGUCAAAAAGCUAAAUUAAUUUUUAGGGACGAUAAGACCCUAUAGAACUUAAAGUUUAAGUUUUUAUUUUUUUCUUUAGAAAUUUUAUUAAGUUAUGUUAAUUAAACUUUUAGUUGGGGUGACUAAUAAAUUAGAUAGGCUUUAUUUUUUUUUUUCAUAAAUUAGUGUAUUAAUGAUCCUUAAUUAAGAUUACAAGAUAAGUUACCUUAGGGAUAACAGCGUUAUUUCAAUUGAAAGUUCUUAUUAAUAUUGAAGUUUGCGACCUCGAUGUUGAAUUAAGAUAAAUUUAUGG
RNAcentral lists this ribosomal RNA (419 nucleotides) under Peayanus dubiosus. RNAcentral's name for it is "partial large subunit ribosomal RNA". Lineage: Eukaryota; Metazoa; Arthropoda; Insecta; Hemiptera; Cicadellidae. The record is from RNAcentral.